UACGUAGGGUGCAAGCGUUGUCCGGAAUUAUUGGGCGUAAAGAGCUCGUAGGCGGUCUGUCGCGUCUGCUGUGAAAUCUCAAGGCUCAACCUUGAGCUUGCAGUGGGUACGGGCAGACUAGAGUGUGGUAGGGGAGACUGGAAUUCCGGGUGUAGCGGUGGAAUGCGUAGAGAUCCGGAAGAACACCGGUGGCGAAGGCGGCCUGCUGGGCUAUGGCUGACACUGAGGCGCGACAGCGUGGGGAGCAAACAGG
RNAcentral lists this ribosomal RNA (253 nucleotides) under uncultured bacterium. RNAcentral's name for it is "partial 16S ribosomal RNA". It matches the Rfam family "Bacterial small subunit ribosomal RNA", at positions 524 to 776 of the family's 1533-position model. The record is from RNAcentral.